This 492-nucleotide ribosomal RNA is filed under the name uncultured bacterium. RNAcentral's name for it is "partial 16S ribosomal RNA". It matches the Rfam family "Bacterial small subunit ribosomal RNA", at positions 29 to 507 of the family's 1533-position model. The record is from RNAcentral.
AGUGAACGCUGGCGGUAGGCCUAACACAUGCAAGUCGAACGGCAGCACAGUAAGAGCUUGCUCUUACGGGUGGCGAGUGGCGGACGGGUGAGGAAUACAUCGGAAUCUACUUUUUCGUGGGGGAUAACGUAGGGAAACUUACGCUAAUACCGCAUACGACCUACGGGUGAAAGCAGGGGAUCUUCGGACCUUGCGCGAUUGAAUGAGCCGAUGUCGGAUUAGCUAGUUGGCGGGGUAAAGGCCCACCAAGGCGACGAUCCGUAGCUGGUCUGAGAGGAUGAUCAGCCACACGGGAACUGAGACACGGUCCAGACUCCUACGGGAGGCAGCAGUGGGGAAUAUUGGACAAUGGGCGCAAGCCUGAUCCAGCCAUACCGCGUGGGUGAGGAAGGCCUUCGGGUUGUAAAGCCCUUUUGUUGGGAAAGAAAAGCAGCAGGUUAAUACCCCGCUGUUCUGACGGUACCCAAAGAAUAAGCACCGGCUAACUUCGUG